Molecule: ribosomal RNA, 253 nt
Filed under: uncultured bacterium
Lineage: Bacteria
Description: partial 16S ribosomal RNA
Rfam family: Bacterial small subunit ribosomal RNA
Source: RNAcentral
UACGGAGGGGGCUAGCGUUGUUCGGAAUUACUGGGCGUAAAGGGCGCGUAGGCGGCGCACCAAGUCAGGCGUGAAAGCCCUGGGCUCAACCCGGGAAUUGCGCUUGAGACUGGUGUGCUAGAGUACGGGAGAGGAUAGUGGAAUUCCCAGUGUAGAGGUGAAAUUCGUAGAUAUUGGGAAGAACACCGGUGGCGAAGGCGGCUAUCUGGACCGUAACUGACGCUGAGGCGCGAAAGCGUGGGGAGCAAACAGG